Long non-coding RNA from Perca fluviatilis (European perch), 401 nucleotides. RefSeq lists it as uncharacterized. The transcript has 3 exons. The record is from RefSeq and is a predicted model, not a curated record. NCBI's taxonomy places the organism in Eukaryota, Metazoa, Chordata, Actinopteri, Perciformes, Percidae.
GGACAUUUGAAAUGGAGCUGAGAGAAUUGAUGGAGCUAAUUGAAACGGAGAGAUGCAAUGAAAAUGCAAUGAAAAUGGAAAAUGAAAUGUUAAGAAGAAUGAGGACCCAUCAGAGACCAGACCCUGCUGAUCCUGAAUCCAGCUGUAUGUCCAUGAAGCCACAACUACAUAAAAAAGAAGGCGACCUGUAAUCAAGGGGGAAUUAAAACGGACAAGAGGCCAUUUGAAAUGGAGCCGGAGAGAAUUGAUGGAGAGCCGUGACUAUGAGAGGGAGCAAUUGAAAAUAAUAUUGAGGACCUUAAUGGAACUUGAACCUGAACCCAGCUGUGUGUCCAUGAAGAGCAACCCGGUCCAUUGGGCCACCACUGUGUUUGAAAGGACAACAUCUCCCAACUACAGAG